CAAAGAAUUUGGGCAUUGGACACGGCGAAACGACUCCAUUUCCUUUGAAACUUCUUUAUCUUUGGUAUAGAAAUGAGAAACUUGUUUCUUUAUUCGUCCUCCUAAUCAGAAAAGAUAAACAUGGAAUCAACAGUUAGAACAGCCGUCUUCACAAGGAAAAAGAUACGUAUCGAUUUCUGACAGCCAAACAAACUAUUUCCAGCCACCCAUGAAAACAACCUAAAAUUCACUGAGACAAUUCUUCCACUUCCAUAACAAAGGAAUGCCUGUCCAGGGACCGCAAGUCGCAAGGCAAACAUUCUUGUCCCCACUCAACGAUUGCAAGGAAGCAGCUGCUUCUCAGUAAGUUUUCUUACUUUUUUCCUCCCUUUCUAAAUUCAACAACAUCACCCAACCACUUUUCUUAGCUGUUGCAUGGCCCGGAGUUUGUGUCUGUAUGCCCUUGUGUUGGAGAAACAUCCCAUGAGUAAACUUGUCACGCACCCUUAACACCGAGCUGCCGCACCUGCAGCUGAAGCCAGUUCCCUACUCAGCUUGCAGCGCAGUGACACAGGCUGGCCACAUUGCCACUAAGCACUAACUUCUCAUGCACAGAGACAGAAGAAAACCUUUUCAGAACUGUGGCAAGCCAAGAGAGGAUGUAUGUGCCAAACAUGGCUUGCAAACUCCCAAUCUGGGCACCUGCCUUCGACAUUCAGAGAUCCACCCUGGAGACAGCGCAAAGUGAUGGGGAAUAUACUGACAUGGGAGCCUCGUCUUGCUAAUAUUUCCUAAGAUGUAUAUCUGACUAUCUGACGAACUACAUCUGCUUCAAGCUAAGGUUUCUAAAAUGGUUCACAAACACAGGAGUCAUUUUUACAGGGUUAUAGCAAACCAGUAAGUAUAAUAAAAUUAAUAAAAUCCCAUUUUUCCUAGAAUUGACAAAA
Molecule: non-coding RNA, 926 nt
Organism: Rattus norvegicus (Norway rat)
Lineage: Eukaryota; Metazoa; Chordata; Mammalia; Rodentia; Muridae
Source: RefSeq, a predicted model, not a curated record